This 496-nucleotide ribosomal RNA is filed under the name uncultured bacterium. Its description in RNAcentral is "partial 16S ribosomal RNA". It matches the Rfam family "Bacterial small subunit ribosomal RNA", at positions 28 to 506 of the family's 1533-position model. The record is from RNAcentral.
GAUGAACGCUGGCGGCGUGCCUAAUACAUGCAAGUCGAGCGAACGGACGAGAAGCUUGCUUCUCUGAUGUUAGCGGCGGACGGGUGAGUAACACGUGGAUAACCUACCUAUAAGACUGGGAUAACUUCGGGAAACCGGAGCUAAUACCGGAUAAUAUUUUGAACCGCAUGGUUCAAAAGUGAAAGACGGUCUUGCUGUCACUUAUAGAUGGAUCCGCGCUGCAUUAGCUAGUUGGUAAGGUAACGGCUUACCAAGGCAACGAUGCAUAGCCGACCUGAGAGGGUGAUCGGCCACACUGGAACUGAGACACGGUCCAGACUCCUAUGGGAGGCAGCAGUAGGGAAUCUUCCGCAGUGGGCGAAAGCCUGACGGAGCAACGCCGCGUGAGUGAUGAAGGUCUUCGGAUCGUAAAACUCUGUUAUUAGGGAAGAACAGAUGUGUAAGUAACUGUGCACAUCUUGACGGUACCUAAUCAGAAAGCCACGGCUAACUACGU